Molecule: transfer RNA, 72 nt
Filed under: Usnea pennsylvanica
Lineage: Eukaryota; Fungi; Ascomycota; Lecanoromycetes; Lecanorales; Parmeliaceae
Description: tRNA-Lys
Rfam family: tRNA
About the family: Transfer RNA (tRNA) molecules are approximately 80 nucleotides in length. Their secondary structure includes four short double-helical elements and three loops (D, anti-codon, and T loops). Further hydrogen bonds mediate the characteristic L-shaped molecular structure. tRNAs have two regions of fundamental functional importance: the anti-codon, which is responsible for specific mRNA codon recognition, and the 3' end, to which the tRNAs corresponding amino acid is attached (by aminoacyl-tRNA synthetases). tRNAs cope with the degeneracy of the genetic code in two manners: having more than one tRNA (with a specific anti-codon) for a particular amino acid; and 'wobble' base-pairing, i.e. permitting non-standard base-pairing at the 3rd anti-codon position.
Source: RNAcentral
GAGACCUUAGUUUAACGGCAAAAUCUGUGACUUUUGAUCAUCAUUAUACGGGUUCAAAUCCCGUAGGUCUUA